RNAcentral lists this ribosomal RNA (446 nucleotides) under uncultured bacterium. Its description in RNAcentral is "partial 16S ribosomal RNA". It matches the Rfam family "Bacterial small subunit ribosomal RNA", at positions 338 to 795 of the family's 1533-position model. The record is from RNAcentral.
CCUACGGGUGGCAGCAGUCGAGAAUCAUUCACAAUGGGGGAAACCCUGAUGGUGCGACGCCGCGUGGGGGAAUGAAGGUCUUCGGAUUGUAAACCCCUGUCAUGUGGGAGCAAAUUAACAAGAUAGUACCACAAGAGGAAGAGACGGCUAACUCUGUGCCAGCAGCCGCGGUAAUACAGAGGUCUCAAGCGGUGUUCGGAUUCACUGGGCGUAAGGCGUGCGUAGGCUGUUUCGUAAGUCGUGUGUGAAAGGCGCGGGCUCAACCCGCGGACGGCACAUGAUACUGCGAGACUAGAGUAAUGGAGGGGGAACCGGAAUUCUCGGUGUAGCAGUGAAAUGCGUAGAUAUCGGGAGGAACACUCGUGGCGAAGGCGGGUUCCUGGACAUUAACUGACGCUGAGGCACGAAGGCCAGGGGAGCGAAAGGGAUUAGAUACCCCAGUAGUC